UCACCGGUGUGUGAUUUCUGCUGUAUCAGAGACAAUAUGGCAGACCACCGCCGCCUACGUCCUGUAGCGCUGCGACGGAGGCCGCCGAGGGACAAACCGCCGCGCGAUUGCCGACCACCAGCUAGCGCCUCGUAGGUGGAAAAGGGCGGCCCACAGGACACAUCCUGGUCAAAGAGAACUGCAGGAUUCUUUACGUUGCUGCUGGAUACCAGAGGAAUUCCAUCCAGAGGAACUAGAGUGACUUCAAAGGCCUUCUGGGCCCAAUGAAAUAACCUCUGUUUUGUCUGAGUUUAACAUCGGGAAGUUGCAGGUCAUCCAGGUUUUGAUGUCCUUAACACAUGGUCUCAUCAGGCUUGAUCUAUCGAUACAAUUGAUUGUCUGCAUAACAAUUUUUUUCUGAGGGUUUUUCCUGAUAAUAUUGCCUAAAGGAAGCAUUUAUGAGGUAAAUAAAAUCGAUCCAAGCACUGAA
Long non-coding RNA from Gasterosteus aculeatus aculeatus (three-spined stickleback), 469 nucleotides. RefSeq lists it as uncharacterized. Lineage: Eukaryota; Metazoa; Chordata; Actinopteri; Perciformes; Gasterosteidae. The record is from RefSeq and is a predicted model, not a curated record.